AAGGGCCUACGGGGGGCAGCAGUGGGGAAUAUUGCACAAUGGGCGAAAGCCUGAUGCAGCAACGCCGCGUGAAGGAAGAAGGGUUUCGGCUCGUAAACUUCUAUCAACAGGGACGAAAGAAAUGACGGUACCUGAAUAAGAAGCCCCGGCUAACUACGUGCCAGCAGCCGCGGUAAUACGUAGGGGGCAAGCGGUAUCCGGAAUUACUGGGGGGAAAGGGUGAGUAGGCGGCAUGGUAAGCCAGAUGUGAAAGCCUUGGGCUUAACCCAAGGAUUGCAUUUGGAACUAUCAAGCUAGAG
RNAcentral lists this ribosomal RNA (299 nucleotides) under uncultured bacterium. Its description in RNAcentral is "partial 16S ribosomal RNA". It matches the Rfam family "Bacterial small subunit ribosomal RNA", at positions 333 to 646 of the family's 1533-position model. The record is from RNAcentral.